AGCACCGGCGGACUGCUCAGUAACACGUGGACAACCUACCCUCGGGUGGGGGAUAACCUCGGGAAACUGAGGCUAAUACCCCAUAGGCCUCGGAUACUGGAAGGUUCCGAGACCGAAAGCUCCGGCGCCCGAGGAUGGGUCUGCGGCCUAUCAGGUAGUUGGUGGUGUAAAGGACCACCAAGCCUACGACGGGUACGGGCCCUGAGAGGGGGAGCCCGGAGAUGGACUCUGAGACACGAGUCCAGGCCCUACGGGGCGCAGCAGGCGCGAAACCUUCGCAAUGCGCGAAAGCGCGACGAGGGGAGCCCGAGUGCCCUUCCUUUCGGGAGGGCUUUUCUGGAGCCUAAAAAGCUCCAGGAAUAAGGGCUGGGCAAGACGGGUGCCAGCCGCCGCGGUAAUACCC
Molecule: ribosomal RNA, 403 nt
Filed under: uncultured archaeon
Lineage: Archaea
Description: bacterial SSU rRNA
Rfam family: Archaeal small subunit ribosomal RNA
Source: RNAcentral